This 253-nucleotide ribosomal RNA is filed under the name uncultured bacterium. Its description in RNAcentral is "partial 16S ribosomal RNA". It matches the Rfam family "Bacterial small subunit ribosomal RNA", at positions 524 to 776 of the family's 1533-position model. The record is from RNAcentral.
UACAGAGGUCCCAAGCGUUGUUCGGAUUCACUGGGCGUAAAGGGUGCGUAGGUGGUGCGGUAAGUCGGAUGUGAAAUCUCCGAGCUCAACUCGGAAAUGGCAUUGGAAACUACCUUGCUCGAGGGUUGGAGGGGGGACUGGAAUGCUUGGUGUAGCAGUGAAAUGCGUAGAUAUCAAGCGGAACACCAGUGGCGAAGGCGAGUCCCUGGACAACUCCUGACACUGAGGCACGAAAGCUAGGGGAGCAAACAGG